GCGCUCGCUCGCGGCCUUAGCGUCACGGCGCCGCGCGUGCGCGGGGGGCGGGCCCGGCGAUGUCGCCGCGCGCCCUUCUGGGACUUGUAGUCUCGGCGCUGGUCGGGGCCCGCAGCCUCCGCACUGCGAGUCCUAGGAGAUGGGGACUUGGCUCAACGUCCUGGCUCGGCGCCCGGGCUUGGCGAGGAGCAUGUGGAAGAGGGGACAGAUGAAUACCCCAUCUUCCUGCUCUCCAUCAGUCCGCCCUGGUGUGAUGUGCCUAAGCAGUUCCGAGUAAUCUUCCUGGAAAAAAUAAAUAGGCAACUGCGAUGAGUUUGUGCAAGGAUCCUAAUGGUAAUGAAUAAUAAUAACACACCACUGACAGCGAACGCUGAGUGUUCACUGCGUGCUAGGCACCAUGCAGAGGGUUUCCCCUCACAUGUACUUUAGGGGUAGAAAGAGGGACAAAGAGGAAAGUCUAUUAGGUGCAGAUCUGUGAACUCUGAAUAGGCCAUCCACCAUCUGAGACUCAGAAACCUGCAGGGACCUGGCCGAUGGGCAGGCUGCAUGCUGGCUGCACCAUGAGUCAGCACCAGACUGGGAGACGCAGCCACUCAGGGAUCCAAGGGACUCAAACAUCUGCAACCUGGCCCCAGGCCAAGAGAACAAACUGCAGGCUCCGGAUUUGCGGCCCUGUAGGAUAGGCUCAAAAUGAAACAUGUUUGUUAUUUCUAAGUGGAUGGGAACUGAAAGAACCCGAACAAUCAGUGUACAAGGAUUCAUGAAUGGACCAAACAUGCUUGCUUUUUGUUCUUGAAAGAUGUUUGUUGUAUUUAAUAUAUAACGAGAAGAGUGGUCAACGCUGACUGGGUGCUGAGCACUUUAAGUGCAUUACCUGGGUGGCUGGCUGGGCUGUGCCAGGGUUGAAGGGUGUGGGGAGCUUCUUUCAAGGUGCCCCUUCUGCCUCCUGGCACAGGACUCUGGCUCCAGCACACCCCAAGCUGACCCUGGUGGGGGUAGGGCCCCUCACCCAAACCUGGCCUCUCCCGUCUCUUGUUCUGCUGCCUCAGCUUUCUCCUGUCUGUGGUAGAGUCUGCUUGGACAGACUCUGGGCAGGGCAGGGGGCAGGGCAAGCUGGAGAGAGAAUUCGUUCUAGGUUGAUGUGGGAUGAUAGUGGCUGGUAGGGCGCUUGUAUCCUAUUGGAAAUCCAUGAUGAGAUCCCAUUCAUUCCCACCCUUCUCUUAACAAUGUCUCCUUAAGUCCAAGUCUCAAGUCGGGUGCCCAGUUUCAUACCAUCCUUCCUCUCCCUCUCACAACCUUCGGGCAGGACCAACCCCCUCAGAGGAACCCCUGCUGCCCCAGCCCUUUCAGGCUCUGUGCCCAGGAUCUCCCCUCCACUCCCUGGAAAUUCCACAUUUGGCCAGGUGUGGUGGUGCACACCCUUGUUCCCAGCUACUCAAAAGGUUGAGGUGGAGGUCGAGGCUGCAGUGAGCUGUGAUCUCACUACUGCACUCCAGCCUGUGCAAGAGAGUGAGACCCCG
Molecule: long non-coding RNA, 1520 nt
Filed under: Homo sapiens (human)
Lineage: Eukaryota; Metazoa; Chordata; Mammalia; Primates; Hominidae
Description: HSALNT0216249
Source: RNAcentral